This 651-nucleotide ribosomal RNA is filed under the name Cronobacter sakazakii. RNAcentral's name for it is "partial 23S ribosomal RNA". It matches the Rfam family "Bacterial large subunit ribosomal RNA", at positions 1 to 687 of the family's 2925-position model. Lineage: Bacteria; Pseudomonadati; Pseudomonadota; Gammaproteobacteria; Enterobacterales; Enterobacteriaceae. The record is from RNAcentral.
GUUGUGAGGUUAAGCGAACAAGCGUACACGGUGGAUGCCCUGGCAGUCAGAGGCGAUGAAGGACGUGCUAAUCUGCGAAAAGCGCCGGUAAGGUGAUAUGAACCGUUAUAACCGGCGAUGUCCGAAUGGGGAAACCCGGUGCACUUCGGUGCAUCAUCGUUAGCUGAAUACAUAGGCUAACGAGGCGAACCGGGGGAACUGAAACAUCUAAGUACCCCGAGGAAAAGAAAUCAACCGAGAUUCCCCCAGUAGCGGCGAGCGAACGGGGAACAGCCCAGAGCCUGAAUCAGUUUGUGUGUCAGUGGAACGGUCUGGAAAGGCCGGCGAUACAGGGUGACAGCCCCGUACACGAAGGCACACAGGUUGUGAGCUCGAUGAGUAGGGCGGGACACGUGAUAUCCUGUCUGAAGAUGGGGGGACCAUCCUCCAAGGCUAAAUACUCCUGACUGACCGAUAGUGAACCAGUACCGUGAGGGAAAGGCGAAAAGAACCCCGGCGAGGGGAGUGAAACAGAACCUGAAACCGUGUACGUACAAGCAGUGGGAGCCUUCGUAAGAGGGUGACUGCGUACCUUUUGUAUAAUGGGUCAGCGACUUAUAUUCUGUAGCAAGGUUAACCGUAUAGGGGAGCCGAAGGGAAACCGAGUCUUAA